GAGAGUUUGAUCCUGGCUCAGGAUGAACGCUGGCGGCGUGCUUAACACAUGCAAGUCGAACGGUGAAGCAGAGCUUGCUCUGUGGAUCAGUGGCGAACGGGUGAGUAACACGUGAGCAAUCUGCCCCUGACUCUGGGAUAAGCGCUGGAAACGGCGUCUAAUACCGGAUACGAGCUGCGACCGCAUGGUCAGUAGCUGGAAAGAAUUUCGGUCAGGGAUGAGCUCGCGGCCUAUCAGCUUGUUGGUGAGGUAAUGGCUCACCAAGGCGUCGACGGGUAGCCGGCCUGAGAGGGUGACCGGCCACACUGGGACUGAGACACGGCCCAGACUCCUACGGGAGGCAGCAGUGGGGAAUAUUGCACAAUGGGCGAAAGCCUGAUGCAGCAACGCCGCGUGAGGGAUGACGGCCUUCGGGUUGUAAACCUCUUUUAGCAGGGAAGAAGCGAAAGUGACGGUACCUGCAGAAAAAGCGCCGGCUAACUACGUGCCAGCAGCCGCGGUAAUACGUAGGGCGCAAGCGUUAUCCGGAAUUAUUGGGCGUAAAGAGCUCGUAGGCGGUCUGUCGCGUCUGCUGUGAAAACCCGAGGCUCAACCUCGGGCCUGCAGUGGGUACGGGCAGACUAGAGUGCGGUAGGGGAGAUUGGAAUUCCUGGUGUAGCGGUGGAAUGCGCAGAUAUCAGGAGGAACACCGAUGGCGAAGGCAGAUCUCUGGGCCGUAACUGACGCUGAGGAGCGAAAGGGUGGGGAGCAAACAGGCUUAGAUACCCUGGUAGUCCACCCCGUAAACGUUGGGAACUAGUUGUGGGGUCCAUUCCACGGAUUCCGUGACGCAGCUAACGCAUUAAGUUCCCCGCCUGGGGAGUACGGCCGCAAGGCUAAAACUCAAAGGAAUUGACGGGGACCCGCACAAGCGGCGGAGCAUGCGGAUUAAUUCGAUGCAACGCGAAGAACCUUACCAAGGCUUGACAUAUAGAGGAAACGUCUGGAAACAGUCGCCCCGCAAGGUCUCUAUACAGGUGGUGCAUGGUUGUCGUCAGCUCGUGUCGUGAGAUGUUGGGUUAAGUCCCGCAACGAGCGCAACCCUCGUUCUAUGUUGCCAGCACGUAAUGGUGGGAACUCAUGGGAUACUGCCGGGGUCAACUCGGAGGAAGGUGGGGAUGACGUCAAAUCAUCAUGCCCCUUAUGUCUUGGGCUUCACGCAUGCUACAAUGGCCGGUACAAAGGGCUGCAAUACCGUGAGGUGGAGCGAAUCCCAAAAAGCCGGUCCCAGUUCGGAUUGAGGUCUGCAACUCGACCUCAUGAAGUCGGAGUCGCUAGUAAUCGCAGAUCAGCAACGCUGCGGUGAAUACGUUCCCGGGUCUUGUACACACCGCCCGUCAAGUCAUGAAAGUCGGUAGCACCUGAAGCCGGUGGCCCAACCCUUGUGGAGGGAGCCGUCGAAGGUGGGAUCGGUAAUUAGGACUAAGUCGUAACAAGGUAGCCGUAG
Molecule: ribosomal RNA, 1486 nt
Filed under: Microbacterium sp. WJ19
Lineage: Bacteria; Bacillati; Actinomycetota; Actinomycetes; Micrococcales; Microbacteriaceae
Description: bacterial SSU rRNA
Rfam family: Bacterial small subunit ribosomal RNA
Source: RNAcentral